GGCUAUUAAUUAUCUUUACUUUAGUUAAACUUAUUUUAAAAUAAUUUACUUUAAAUCUUAAUACUUUUAAAAUCAUGACUUACCUAUAAGUUUCAAAAUUCAAACUUUGACGUCUCAAAGCAGAAUUUCUACUUAUAUAGCAAUCAUUAAAUUGAUGUUAUGCCAACGUGGCUUUCUUUGUCACGAUUUGAUUAGAAAUUUCCUACUAUGGUUACUGUCAGGAAUAAGGUCAAAUGUUGCAUAAGUGAAUGUUCCAUAUAUAAUAGAGAGGUCAAUUUGACUUUGGUACUAGUUUGUGCCCUAUAGUUUAUCAAAGUUAAAUUAUUGACGUAAGUUGACCAUGUCAACCAUUGUCCGAAGUUUAUGACUUGUUUGUUCAUCUUUUACUUUCAAACAAAGAUUUAAGUAAUAUUUGUUCUAUCAGAAAGUUAUUUGACCAAAGAAAGUUAGUUUGACCAACGUGAAGUUUACUUGAACUAAAAACUGGACAUGAAAUUU
RNAcentral lists this long non-coding RNA (498 nucleotides) under Mytilus galloprovincialis (Mediterranean mussel). The record is from RNAcentral. Lineage: Eukaryota; Metazoa; Mollusca; Bivalvia; Mytilida; Mytilidae.